This 26-nucleotide non-coding RNA is filed under the name Bombyx mori (domestic silkworm). Lineage: Eukaryota; Metazoa; Arthropoda; Insecta; Lepidoptera; Bombycidae. The record is from RNAcentral.
GAACUAGUGAAAAGUGGGAGCUGGAA